Molecule: long non-coding RNA, 7578 nt
Filed under: Olea europaea subsp. europaea
Lineage: Eukaryota; Viridiplantae; Streptophyta; Magnoliopsida; Lamiales; Oleaceae
Source: RNAcentral
CUCACUCUCACUGCCGCCAUUGUGAUUUCUCAACCUCUCUCUCAUCUACGUUCCACUAGGCAGCAAGCACGGCCAUUCUCUUGCUCUCGCCACCAGAAUUCCUCUCUCUCUUGUCUCUUUGAGCUGUUGACACGGCGCCACCUUCCUUCUAUCGACACAAUCAACAAUGCAACCGAAACGAGACCACAAUAGGUAGCAGGGGAAUCUUUUAAGAAGGCAUUGGCCACUUAGCACUGAACCAUGAGCUCUUUGAACUGGUGAAGUUGAUUUGACAAUCGGUAAAAGAAGAAGUUGAUUUGAUCGGCAGAAGAAGGUGAAUCCCUUUCAUUUCUCUCUCUUUUUUUUUUUUUUUUAGUACGACUAUGAUAGACCCUGAAGGAACAGGCGGUCAAACCCUAGAUACUUAGCUAUGAUGAUUGCAGACUGUGGAAGACCAAUGGAUGCUUGACUUUUCACAAGUGGGCGGGUUGUUGUUGAGUUUGCUUAUGAGUUUGCUAAGUUUAUUUAGGAAGUAACCGUUGGUUUGACGACUAUAAAUAAGUUUGCAGACAUGUAGAUGAGGAGUAACUAAAAAUUGAUUGUGUUUGUGGUGAUAUCUCCUACACAAAUUGGAGACUUUAUUGCAAUUUAAAUAUUUUCAGCUUGAGUUUUUUCUUUUGUAGCUUUGAUUUCUGAUCAUCAAAACUGGUUCUGGAGUCAUUUAUAAUAAGGUGUCUGGCAGAUGUUUUUAUACCUACUGAGGUUUGGUGGCAGAGUCAUUUAUAAUAAGGUUUAGAUACAAAUAAACAAGCAUAGAGAGGAGACAGAGUAGCAGUUUAAACAAGAACUGAGAUUUGGUGGUAGCAUGGUAGAGUUAACAACUAACAAAUCAAAAGUUCAUUCUCCGAAGACAUUCACAACCACUAAAAUAGAACCAACUAGCAAAUAUGGAAAUAAUAGUGCCAUUAAAAUAGAACCAAAAAAUACAUCUUUAGGCAGAUUACGCAUGCUCGUAUCAAAAGGAAAUAGUACACGAACACAUCAAACUCCUAGAGAAUACAAGCUACUAAUAUGGAAUAUUAUGAAGGUGCAAAAACAAUGACACUCUAAGUGACAACUUAGCCAAUAUCCCAGAUUACUAAACUUCUUUAACUCUUAGAUAAUUAUAAUUUAGCACAAUCUGGUCUUGAAUAAAUUUACUUGGGCCAGAGUUGCACUACUUUUAAUAAUUAAAGAUAAAGAAAUCAACCAGACAAAUCGGAAGAUUUCUCCAUCCAGUAAGCUUAAACUAAUCUAAUUUUCAUAGAUAUUACUCAUUCUAGACUUUAGAAAAGAACAAAAGUCAAAAUUAUGUGCAAGGAUAUUUUACACCAUUUCACUAUUUCUGUUCUAUUAAUGGAUUCAAAUUAGGAACCUUGGUUCCAUAUCUUUAGCUAUGCCAUACCAAACAUGGGAUAUUCAACAGAAAUUCCACCCAUAUAUUCCCAAGUGAAUUCUGUUCUAUUGAAAAUCACUUACUAAAUUAUUAACAUUAUUGCGUCUGCUUUUCCUAAUCCCCUGAAGGUCUCACUCAUCAAUUGCUGCUAUAUUCUUUCUUUCUUGCAAUUACAUGAAGCCGAACUGAGUUCUAAGAUAGAGUUCUCUUGUGCCUGUGUCUUCUUGGAUCUCGUCUAUGUAUAAGGAUUGGGUUGGAACUCGUUUGAAGCUUUGGUUAUAAAAUCAUUUACACAACUUUUGGACAUUUUGAUAGUUCUUUUUGUUGUAAACCAUUUUUCUUUGGUUAGAUAGUGUAUAUCUUUGAAUUGGAUUACUUAUUGUGUUUUGAUGAAGUAAUAGUAUAUGGGAUCAUGCUUAUUGAUUUAAAUGAAGUACUUUUAAUUUUUUGUUGUCUUAAAGCACUUGUGUGUAGAUUGUUGUAAAUAGGUUUUUAAUUCAUAGGUUUGAAAUGAAAGAAAAAAUGUGAAAUAAUUGAUCACAAAAAUAAAAAUGACAUUUGUUGUCAAAAAUUCGUUUGCAACGUUCGUUGCACGUUGCGAAAAGCCUCAUUCGCAACGUUCAAUGAACGUUGCAAAAGCCUCAUUCGCAACGUUCAAUGAACGUUGCAAAAGCCUCAUUCGCAACGUUCAAUGAAUGUUGUCAAAACUCUUCACUCUACGGCAACAUUGAAACCCACAACAGACGCCUAAACGUUGCAAUGGUCUAUGACAACGUUUUCUGACCGUUGCAAAAGGUGAUUUUUGGUGUAGUGUUUAUUUCCAUUCGUGAAUUUGUAUCCUCUUAACCAAUAUCUAGUUAUCUAGACCAGGGCAUAUUUCUGUCCAAGCCUCUUUUAUUCAAUCCAAAACUUAUUUGCCAUUGAUUGAAUGCUAGAUUUUCAUUCUAAAAUUGGGCAAACUAAAAAGUAUUUCUAAAUUAGAUGUGACUUUGAAUAUGCUAUUUUUUUGUUUCUAUACCUUACAUAAUAUUUGGACAAUGAUUUUUUUCUUUUUUUAAUACAGAAAUCAAACAUUGUAACUUAAAAUUGUUACACCAUCAUCUCACAAUUGACACCACCAUGAUCUAACUACUCUCAGCUCUGUUUUUCACCCUCGAUGAUCAAGUGCCAAAGCUAGCAGCCAGCUAGCAAAAUUGCGACAACUUUUUCUCCACCAAGACUUAAAAAUCAAGUUUUCAAUUAUUCAAAAUCCUUUUACCAAACAAACUUCCAAUCCUUGAUGAACUUUGAUCCCUUUUCAAUUGAAGUUCCAACUUAAGAAGACUACGGAUCCUUUUUAUUAAUUUACCAACCUAAUCCUAAUCCCAAUAAAAAUUCAGGUCAUACUCUAACAUGUAUAAUUAAAUGAAUCAAUAAUUUUACCUUUAAUUAACCAAUCACAUAAUAGCAUAUAAUCACAUAAUAGCAUAUAGACAGAUGUUCUAGCACUAGUGAUAUUAGAUAAUAUUACUCAUUUUUAAAAAUUAAAACUAUAAGUCUUUUGGAAUCAAAUUUUAAGGGUCAACUCUUCAGAAUAAAGAGUAUUUAACUUUUAAAAAGUCUUUGAAAGAUGCUCUUAAUUCUUUACCUAUAGAAAGCUUGUUGUCCGUGCCACUUGCAGAAACAAGAAAUGGAAGAGGAAGAGCUUGAAUUGGUUGUUUUUUAUCCAACCUAAACUCAACCUAAUAUGAUCGAUUUAAUCGAAAAUCACACCAAUCCAACUCAGUUACUAGUUUAAACCCAACCCAACCUAAAUCGAUCAAGCUUGGGUUGGUCUUCGUUCGAAACCUGCAACCCCAUGGAUUGUUAGCAAGUAAUAAAUUUAGUGAGUUGAGAUUAUAGUCCCACCUGGAUUAAAUUCAAUUCAAGUUCACUAGUUUCUCAUGGAAUUCAAAUUAAGUAAAACAAAGGGAAUUUAAUUUUGUGAUUAUUCUAAAUUAAUCUAAGAAAAUGGUAAAAUUAGAGUUUUUAUCAAAUAUAGAUGAUUGUAUUGGAUCUAGAAUCUGCCUACUGCUAUCUAUUUCAAUUAUUGAUUCAUAAUCUAAUUCUGUUUAUGCGUGCUUGACAAUUGAUAAAGUUAUGAUAUAUAAUUUCAUUUCUCAAGACAAAUUAAAUCUAUCCUAAGCAUGAUCCGGGUCUAUUCCUAGGCCAAUUUUGAAUUAUUAGAACGCAUUAAAAUUUGGAUUAUCUGUAUGAUUGCACACAUGAUAAAUGUUAUUCCUAACAUCUAUCGUACAUAUGUUAAUUUUGCUAUGUUCAGAAUUUUUUGUGAGUCUCACAACAUUAUAACAAGAAAGUAAUUAUCUAAUUAGUGGCCAAUCAAUUAAAUAGUGCAAUGAGUAUGAAAAAUUAAUCAAGAAACAUAAUAAUUAAAUGAAAUUACUAGUCUUGAAUAAAAAUAAAUAAACAAUAGGGUUCAUCUCAUCCAUUACAUGAAAAGAAUUAACCUAACAUGUUAUUUAAUAAAUCAUACAAAAAGAUUUGAAAAAACAUCGCCCGAAAUUGAAAACUAUGAUCGGAAAGUGACAGAUCAACUUCUUCUUCCUUAAUCUUCAACCCGUACUUUGAAUCUUUAAUCUCUCAUGUUAAUCGACUUUGAAUCCCGUGCUAGCCUCUUUCUUGCGGUGAAAAAUAUGUAUAUUAUGUGCUUCCCCGUUCUAGCCAUCCCCUGUAGCUUAAAUAGUAGGUUAUUUGAUUUUAAGAGUUCAGGUUUAAAAAAAAAAUAAAAAAAUGGGCGUUGUGCCAUUUAGGCCCAAAAAUGGCCCCCACGCGCACCGUAUAAUUCAUUGUGUGCAGGUCAUUCACUGAUUUUUCUCUCGAUAAAUGGAUCAUACGGUGUUGCACACGCGAGAAUUAGAUUAUGCUCACAUAUCGUUAUGAAAAUUUUUCUUUUGAUGCAUUUUGGUCCUUUAAUUUCAUUCUUCAUUCAUUUUAGCUCCUUUCGGUAUCUUCUUGGUCCUCCACUUUCUCCAAUCAUUGAUAUUAGGUCCAAAUCAACUAUCAGCAGCACUUUGCAAUUCCCAAACUUUGGAUUUAGUUCAUUUUGGCUAAUUUUUCGCUGCUUCUAUCUACUUCUAUCAUCUUUCAUCAAGAUACACCUAAGAAAUGUAAUAUAUAAAAAUUAAGCCUCAAUUUAUUUAAAAUAAUAAUAAUUGUUCUAAUUUAAUGAUUAAGGAAAGUGUACAAAAUACACUUAUCAAAUACCCCCAAAUUUGAACAAUUGUUUGUCAUCAAACAAUAUAAAACUUAACUACAUAAAAUUUUCACAAAUAACUUGAUUGAAUAACCUGCCUUUAGCCUCAGGAUUAGACUGAAGUUGAAACUAUAAACUAUUUCAAAAUCAUAAUGCUAAGUCAAUCUCUACAUAUCCAAUUCAAAAUUGAUGUGUGUGUGUGUGUGUGUGAGGAUUCAUGUAAAUGAAGUCAUAAAUUAAUUCAAUUCUUGACCUCUGUGGCCAAAUAUUUCGUUUCUUCCCUCGUAAGAUCCAAACUCUUAAAUUUUAUUCUCUUCUCCUAAGGUGUGAUCUGAGGUUAACUUAUAAAAAAAGAAGCACUAAUCCUUCUACUAUAAAAAUAGCUUUUUACGACAUUUAUUUAUGGUGUGCAAAUAGGGCAUACCGCAAAAAUAGACUAUUUACGGCAUGCCUUAAAUGAGUGCCAUGAUAAUUCAAUUAAAUAAAGCAUUCACGGCAUACAUUUUGGGCACGCCAUAAAAGUAGACUAUUUACGGCAUGCCUUAAAUGUGUACUGUCGAAUAGAGGCCAAAGGAGAUAAUUGUUUCUAUUCACAGUACUCAUCCACUAGGCCUAGCUAGCAUUCCUCAAAUUCUCAACCAAAAAUCACUCCCAUAUUCCACACACUCUCUUCAGCCACUACGUUUAAACAUCCUCCAUUCAUAAAGUUUGGUUAUAUUUCUCUCUCCAUUUUUGUAUUCAAAAUUAUUCUUCUUAUUUCAAUGAUUUUUUAAAUUGAAAUGUAAAAUUGUAAUGUUGGGUGAUUUUUUCAUUUAUUUUUCACAGUUCUUUAUGUAAUUUUUUGUGAUUUAACAUGAUCCUGACUUUAAUUCUCUAUUACUAUUUUUUUUUUUUUUUUUUUAACACUUUGUCACUUUCACAAUGUUGCUGGAAUUUUCUCUCGUGUCUCCUAAUUGCACUUUUUUGUCGGAUAUUCGACAAUAGACUGAAGUCAUUUAGUCCAAAAUGGAUUGCAAGAAUGAUUAAGUUUCUGUAUACAAAGAUUCAAUUUAUACUUCCCAUAGGUUCUAUUCUACAUCACAUUUAGUUAAUUUACAAAACCUUCUCUAUGGAUCUAGGUACUUGACUGGGUUUAGUUUUCAUUGUGCUCGGGGGUUCUUAGAAAAGGAAUAAAAAAGUCUAGACAUUCACUUUUAUGUAUGAUGUAGUUGUUUAACUUGUGUUUCAUUCCUAAAAGCUUAAUCUCACUGGUUGGUGUGCUAUUGCAGACAACCAAAAAUAAAACCUAUACUCAUAAAAAUAUAUGUAGUAGUACAAGUAAGGAUCGUUCCCACGAAGAGUGUCAAAUCUAACUUCAUGCUAAGUAAACAAUGAUGGAGGUUCUAAUCAUAACGCAACCAAUUUAAAAAAAAAUAACUAAUGAGCAAUGCAAAUUAAUGAAUCGAAAUAAAUCAAAAGGAUAAACUUUGAUCGAAGUUAACAUCCACCGUCCUAUCUCUCCUUAGUUGCAAUUAAUUAGAAAACUAUUGAUUCAAUUAACCCCAAUUAUUAAACAACCUAAGAUAGGCACUAAGGUUUAGUCUAAUAACAGUCUUAAGAAUUAGAGAGAUCGAUGAAACUAAAUAAUACAAGCACAAGCAGUCAUACUUAAUCUAGUCAAACGUUCUUCCUAUGAUUUAACAAUUUCUAAUGCAUCAAACCAUUAAAUUCUAGUUGUUUCAAACAAUUACAGAUUUGAUAUUUAACCAAGCAAUAGAUUGUAGCAAAUAAUAAACUAGAAGGCCUCCUGGUAAUUAAACGUAACAAUUAUGAAAAUACGUGAAGAAGAACAUUCAAUACUCAAAACAUGAAUUAAACAAUGAAAAUAAUUUAGAUCUCAUAGGUUGAUUGGUUCCGAGGCUUCAGUUUUCUUCGAUCAAGUACAAAAGUUUAGCGACACAUAAAAAUUGAAAGUCUAAAAGAGAGGAGAAGGGGAUGGGAGACGUGUUCCUCUUUUUUCCCCAAUUUGUUUCCAUAAGAGUUUAAAUUAAUUUUGAAAACUAAGAUUGUUGCGUCCAUACGAUCCAUGCGAUCGCAUAGUUCAUUGAAAAUAAAGCUCUGAAAUCUCUGAAAAUGGGUAUGCAACCUCAUGGAAUUUUCUACUAUGCAACCGCAUAGUAGUGAAAAAUCCAAAAGUUACAUUUUAGUCCUUGAACUUUUUUUUCACGUUUCUUGACUUCUUUUCUCAUUUCUUCUUCUUCCAAUACUUUAUGAUUUCUAUAAAUUAGCCUUCAAAUCUUUCAAACAUUCAUUUUGUCUUCUAGGCAAUCUUUUUGGUUGUUUGCACUUCGAUAUUUUCUUCCAUUUUGGUCCUUUUUCGCUUGUUUCUUCUAAAUUCUACCUUAUUCAUCCAUUUGCAUCCUAAAUCAAAAUAUAAGAAUAAUGAAUACAUUUAAGCACCAAAUAAUUAUAAAAGCAAUAGCAUUAAGGGAGGAAAAAUAUGACAUUUUACAUUCUCAUCAAUGGUCUUGAACGAUACACAUUGCUGCUAUUGUGCCCUAUUUAAUGCUCAUGAUGGGGCAGUAUUUUCCAGUGAACAAGCAGAACAAGCUUCCAGUUCUGAAACUUGGUUGAAGACUAAUAAAUGCCUGGAUAGAUUAAUACUAAGGUUUGAACUAUUCAUAUGCUUAUUGCAUGUUUUCUAGCACUUGUUUCCUUGAGUUUUCUUUGUUUCUAGGAUAUCAUGGACUUGUAUAUCUAAUUAGUCACUAUUGCAUUCAUCUACAUGUUAAAUCACUGGAGAGUCGUAGUAUAUUACUAGUCGUGAUGAAAAUGUGCAGCCAUGUAAACUAUGAUUAGUAGAUUAUGUAUUAUUACAAGUGUGGUAGAAAUGACCAUUUUUUCUCGUGGCGUUAAUCAAAUAUUUUGUGUAUUAAAAUAUAGGAUGCUGAUA